This 323-nucleotide long non-coding RNA is filed under the name Sus scrofa (pig). RNAcentral describes it as "lncRNA (ENSSSCG00070016726.1)". Lineage: Eukaryota; Metazoa; Chordata; Mammalia; Artiodactyla; Suidae. The record is from RNAcentral.
CCCGGUUUCGGCCCCCGCGACCUCCGCGGGGUUGGCUCGGGAGGGGCGGCGGCCUCUGGGCCCAGGUGGGCGGAGGCAGGUGCGUCCCUCCGCCCCCGCUGCCCCGCAGCGGACGCCGUCCCAGCCGAGCUCGGCCGCGGGGAUUCACCCUCCUUCCUCCUGGCGCGGCCCGCAGGCCCCGCUUCUCUGUUACCCGCCCCCCGGGAGCGCGGGGCACCAGAGAGGACGCAGCUCGCGGCCACCUCCCCCCCGCACCACGGCGGCCACGAAGGCCAGAGCUGAACAAGCCAUAUUUCCUGAAACCGAGGAGCUAUAAAAACUGA